RNAcentral lists this ribosomal RNA (450 nucleotides) under uncultured Alphaproteobacteria bacterium. RNAcentral describes it as "bacterial SSU rRNA". It matches the Rfam family "Bacterial small subunit ribosomal RNA", at positions 45 to 544 of the family's 1533-position model. The record is from RNAcentral. Lineage: Bacteria; Pseudomonadati; Pseudomonadota; Alphaproteobacteria.
GGCCUAACACAUGCAAGUCGAGCGCCCCGCAAGGGGAGCGGCAGACGGGAGAGUAACACGUGGGAACGUACCCUUCAGUUCGGAACAACCCAGGGAAACUUGGGCUAAUACCGGAUACGUCCGUAAGGAGAAAGAUUUAUCGCUGAAGGAUCGGCCCGCGUCUGAUUAGCUAGUUGGUGAGGUAACGGCUCACCAAGGCGACGAUCAGUAGCUGGUCUGAGAGGAUGAUCAGCCUCACUGGGACUGAGACACGGCCCAGACUCCUACGGGAGGCAGCAGUGGGGAAUAUGGACAAUGGGCGCAAGCCUGAUCCAGCCAUGCCGCGUGGAUGAUGAAGGCCCUAGGGUUGUAAAGUCCUUUCGGCGGGGAAGAUAAUGACGGUACCCGCAGAAGAAGCCCCGGCUAACUUCGUGCCAGCAGCCGCGGUAAUACGAAGGGGGCUAGCGUUGC